Molecule: non-coding RNA, 598 nt
Organism: Nicotiana tabacum (common tobacco)
Lineage: Eukaryota; Viridiplantae; Streptophyta; Magnoliopsida; Solanales; Solanaceae
Source: RefSeq, a predicted model, not a curated record
UCUUCUAGAAUAAGUAUCAUCCCUUAGCAUCUUUCAACAUGGGCUUGCAUAAAAUAUUCUUUAUUUCUUCUUCUUUUUCCUUUUCUUCUGCUCUUGUUAUUCUUCCUCCUCUCCAGUUGCAAUCUCUCCAUUUUCCCAAAGUUGGGCUUGAUUAUCUUACACGUGUCUUCUUAUUAAUUUAAGGGAUAAGACUUGCUUAGUUAACUUAAACCUUUAAUCAAGGUUAAUAAUUCUCUCUCCUCCCCUUUCUCUAUCCUCGGUUGCGAGAUAAAGAGAGAAACAAGAUGCAAAGAUCUUGUGUAGAAUGGAACAAGUAUAGCUAAACAAGAUAUAUAUUGCAUGCUUGUCUUUACUGUUGUUUACCAAAUUAUUUUGAUAUAUCUUUAUACAAUGGAAAACAAGAUUCUUAAGGGGUUUUACACAGUCCAGGCAUUGUGGGGAGCCAAAUUAGAUUAAAUUGAAGAAUUCUCAAAUGCGCUAAAAACUUUGGAUCCAAAAUUGUACAUAUAUGUCAAUUUGAUGAAUUCAAUCAAUUAUCAGUUGGAUCAAAAGGUACGAAAGAGUCGAAGACGAAGAGAAGGAAGAGCUGGAAACGAGA